RNAcentral lists this ribosomal RNA (879 nucleotides) under Triticum aestivum (bread wheat). Its description in RNAcentral is "partial small subunit ribosomal RNA". The record is from RNAcentral. Lineage: Eukaryota; Viridiplantae; Streptophyta; Magnoliopsida; Poales; Poaceae.
AUGAUGUCUGCCAACGGCGACUCUCCGGCCGGCGCUGCCGUGACGACGCCGAGGUCGCGGCUGCCGCGGUGGACGCGGCAUGAGACUUUGGUGCUGAUCCAGGCGAAGCGCGUCACGGAGCAGCGGGCCGCGCAGCCGGUGCGGCUCAAGUGGGCGGUGGUGUCGGCCUACUGCCGGCGGCACGGCGUGGAGCGCGGGCCCAUGCAGUGCCGCAAGCGCUGGGGCAACCUCUCGUGGGACCUCAAGAAGAUCGUCGCCUGGGAGAAGAAGCACGCCGCCGCCGCCGCCACGGGCGACGCGGACUCGGCGGCGCCGGAGCGCGAGUCGUUCUGGGACAUGCGCGGGGAGCAGCGGCGCGCCAGGCAGCUGCCGUCGUCGUUCGACCGGGAGGUCUACGACGCUAUCGUCGGCGCCGCCAACCAGCUGAAGCCGGACUCCGCCGAGGAGAUGGAGCUCGCCGACGACGCCGACGAGCACCCGCCGUCGCCGAUGAUGGUCAUGCCCAUCCAAGCGAGAAUGUACGUGCCGCCGGCCUCCUCCCAGUCCCAGCACGAGUGCUCCGAUCCGGCGACGGAGAGCGCCAAGAAGCCGGCGUCGGACAAGAACUCCACGUCGCAGCAGGACAGCGAGGCCACGUUCGGCGCUGGAGUCGGGGCGGAGGACACGGACACGGCGACGGCGACGCCAACGGCAGCGGCGGGGACGACGAGCAUGGGGAGGCAGAUGUCGGAGGCGCUGGAGAGGGGCAACCGUUUGCUGGCGGAGCAGCUGGAGGCGCAGAGGGCGAACUGGGACGCGGACAGGGAGCACCGGAGGGCGCUCCUCGCCGCCGUCAACAAGCUCGCCGACGCCGCCGCCAGGAUCGCCGAGAGGCUCUGA